GAUGAACGCUGGCGGCGUGCCUAAUACAUGCAAGUCGAGCGAACAGACGAGGAGCUUGCUCCUCUGACGUCAGCGGCGGACGGGUGAGUAACACGUGGAUAACCUACCUAUAAGACUGGGAUAACUUCGGGAAACCGGAGCUAAUACCGGAUAAUAUAUUGAACCGCAUGGUUCAAUAGUGAAAGACGGUUUUGCUGUCACUUAUAGAUGGAUCCGCGCCGCAUUAGCUAGUUGGUAAGGUAACGGCUUACCAAGGCAACGAUGCGUAGCCGACCUGAGAGGGUGAUCGGCCACACUGGAACUGAGACACGGUCCAGACUCCUACGGGAGGCAGCAGUAGGGAAUCUUCCGCAAUGGGCGAAAGCCUGACGGAGCAACGCCGCGUGAGUGAUGAAGGUCUUCGGAUCGUAAAACUCUGUUAUUAGGGAAGAACAAAUGUGUAAGUAACUAUGCACGUCUUGACGGUACCUAAUCAGAAAGCCACGGCUAACUACGU
RNAcentral lists this ribosomal RNA (496 nucleotides) under uncultured bacterium. RNAcentral's name for it is "partial 16S ribosomal RNA". It matches the Rfam family "Bacterial small subunit ribosomal RNA", at positions 28 to 506 of the family's 1533-position model. The record is from RNAcentral.